This 613-nucleotide ribosomal RNA is filed under the name Shigella sonnei. RNAcentral's name for it is "partial 23S ribosomal RNA". It matches the Rfam family "Bacterial large subunit ribosomal RNA", at positions 474 to 1087 of the family's 2925-position model. Lineage: Bacteria; Pseudomonadati; Pseudomonadota; Gammaproteobacteria; Enterobacterales; Enterobacteriaceae. The record is from RNAcentral.
UCCUGACUGACCGAUAGUGAACCAGUACCGUGAGGGAAAGGCGAAAAGAACCCCGGCGAGGGGAGUGAAAAAGAACCUGAAACCGUGUACGUACAAGCAGUGGGAGCACGCUUAGGCGUGUGACUGCGUACCUUUUGUAUAAUGGGUCAGCGACUUAUAUUCUGUAGCAAGGUUAACCGAAUAGGGGAGCCGAAGGGAAACCGAGUCUUAACUGGGCGUUAAGUUGCAGGGUAUAGACCCGAAACCCGGUGAUCUAGCCAUGGGCAGGUUGAAGGUUGGGUAACACUAACUGGAGGACCGAACCGACUAAUGUUGAAAAAUUAGCGGAUGACUUGUGGCUGGGGGUGAAAGGCCAAUCAAACCGGGAGAUAGCUGGUUCUCCCCGAAAGCUAUUUAGGUAGCGCCUCGUGAAUUCAUCUCCGGGGGUAGAGCACUGUUUCGGCAAGGGGGUCAUCCCGACUUACCAACCCGAUGCAAACUGCGAAUACCGGAGAAUGUUAUCACGGGAGACACACGGCGGGUGCUAACGUCCGUCGUGAAGAGGGAAACAACCCAGACCGCCAGCUAAGGUCCCAAAGUCAUGGUUAAGUGGGAAACGAUGUGGGAAGGCCCA